UCCGAUGCGUAUUCCGGAACCCGUCCAGAGGCAUAGGCCGGGACAGGAAGGCAAAUUUGGAAAACGAUCACUGUCCUCUCUGGGCAUUCGGGACCUCAACCUCUUAAUGGGCUGCCAGCUUGCUUCCACUGCCAGCAACCAGGACACCUCAGUUGCAAAAAGCUGUCCCCAGGGCCAUGCCUUCAGUGCCAUCGCACAGGGCACUGAAAAGAGGGACUGUCCUACUCUCCAGAGAGGGAGGGAGCCAGCCCAAACCACGGGCCAGGAUGGGAGGACAGGCUUGACGGUCAGCUGCCUCUGAUGAAGAACGUGGUGCAGGAGAAGACCUUCUCUGAAGAAGCCCAGAGGUGCAAUAAUAAUCAAAGCUUUGAUGUCCUAAGUCUUCAUCUUGAAGGAUUAAGUAUGUAUAAAACCCUAAAGCCCUAGACCUGUUAAUGGCUAAAGUUAAAAAGAAAAAAAAAAUUGUGACCCCCUUCUAAAAACUUUUGUUUUUGUUUUUCUCUUGCUUGGGCCUUACAUCGUCAAUGCCUUCAUCGAGGUCAUUUCUCGCCUCUAGACCAUCAAAUUAUAAAGCCUCCACUGUCCUUUCGAAGUCCUUCAAUCGUCAUCUUGCGGUGGAGCCCUGACUAUUUCCCCUCAUCACCCACUUUCAGCAGGAAGCAGUUACUGAUCAAAACGACGCCCUUUUCCCUGACUGCAGUUAGGGGCUCCAUUCACAAAAGGGGAAAAAUAAAGCAUAGGACAAGUUAGGGUAAUUAGGCAGUUUUAGGAACAGUGCAGGAGGGGACCUCUAAAAAAGUUUUAAAAGGCUUCAAAAAUAAAGACAACUAAAGAAAUGUGUUAACACUGGCCUUAGUUUCCUUCAGGUAAUAACGAAGAGUGGUUUAAUUAGGGCAGGAGACUCAUUUAUGAAAAGAAAAAAAAAAAAGGUUAGCAUUAAGACUGAUGGGUGGCAGCCUGUUUUUCUUCAAUAGCUAAUGUUUAGUGACCAGAUAAAUAACUCUGUGACUGGCUAACUAAAAGAAAUCCCUUGUUUGAGCAGAGUAAUUCUCAUUUAAGAAUGGCAAUUUUUCAACUUUGUCAAACCCUUAGUGUUGCUCAUGCUAAUGCUAACAUUUGGCCUUUUUAUACUCAAUCGCUUGCAAAUGCUGGUCUUACACAGUCAAUACCUUAAAGUAGAAGAAGACCAACUGUGAGGCUAGGAUUAGCCUCCUCUCACAGUUACAAGAAAAAGGGGGGAUUGUAAGAUAUUAAAGAAUUAGGCAUAGCAAGACAGCAGCUAUUUUAAGAAAAACAGACAUUUUAAAGGGCACAGCUAUGCCCUAGUUUCAUUUCAAGGCAAAAACAACCAGACUGGGGUAAAAACCACAAGACAAGGGUAAACAAAACUUAACUAGUGCCAAGGAGAGAUACCCAAUCAGGCCAAACUUGGCCCCUGGUGUGAAAAGUCCCUGCAUCCUGUCAGCAAAGUACGAAAACAGUUGGUUGCCCUGGGAGG
This is a long non-coding RNA of Talpa occidentalis (Iberian mole), 1498 nucleotides long. RefSeq lists it as uncharacterized. The record is from RefSeq and is a predicted model, not a curated record. The transcript is spliced from 3 exons. NCBI's taxonomy places the organism in Eukaryota, Metazoa, Chordata, Mammalia, Eulipotyphla, Talpidae.